UUCGCACAAUUGGUCAUCGCGC
RNAcentral lists this small nuclear RNA (22 nucleotides) under Arabidopsis thaliana (thale cress). RNAcentral's name for it is "snRNA_16093". Lineage: Eukaryota; Viridiplantae; Streptophyta; Magnoliopsida; Brassicales; Brassicaceae. The record is from RNAcentral.